Molecule: small nucleolar RNA, 108 nt
Organism: Dioscorea cayenensis subsp. rotundata (Guinea yam)
Lineage: Eukaryota; Viridiplantae; Streptophyta; Magnoliopsida; Dioscoreales; Dioscoreaceae
Source: RefSeq, a predicted model, not a curated record
AACCCAUGUUGAGGGCAUUUCCGCAGGAGCUCCUUGAACCUAUCCCAUGUCUCAGAAAGAGACUCCUAAUUCCGUUUGCACAAAGGAGGAUGUUUCAUUCCUGAGCUU